CAGACUUGUGCAACCAUCACCACAAUGUAAUUUUAGAACAUUUUUAAGAGCUCAGGCUCUGUGACCUACGGGCUAGAUAAGACAAGUAGAUAAGGGUUUAAUGUUUAUCCUAGAUAGACUUUAUUCUAGAUAAGGAUUUAAGGUCUCUGAGUAUAGAUGAGCUUGCUCAUCUGUAGAGUGGGAUUAAUAUGGGCUGGAGUGGUGAGAACUAAAAUAUAUGUAUAAAGUUCUUGGUACAGGGCCGGCACACAUUAAGUGCUCAAUAAACAGGAGUUAUUAUGACCUCCGCAGCUCUUCCUGGCAUUGACUUCCAAAUAGUCUUGUCCUCUUCUUUAUUAGUUUAUUGUCUCCCCAAGUAGAGUAUAAACUUCCAAAGGGCAGGAAUACUGUUCUUAUCCCUCUCUUAAAAUUCUCAUACCACUUCCACAGUCUGAGCAGACUUGGUGUAUGAGAGCGAAUUGGGGCAGGUUUCAUGGUGCCAGUUGCAUGAGAACGGGGUUGUAAAGAGCGGGUAGGUUUUGAACACGUUGCUGUGAACGAGAAGAAUAUUUUGAGUAGAAGGAAAUGAGUAAAGGCAUAGAAAUAGGAAAAUGUAGGGCACUCUAUGGCAACCAGCAAUGAGUUCAGUUUGAAGGCAGUUUAGGAAACACAAAAGGGACUGGACUAGAUAAGGCUGGAAAGAGGCUGGGGUUCAGCACUGCUAGACUCAUGUCCCCGUACCAGAGCCAUAACCUUGGUCUGAUGCUCAAGGUCUAAGGCACACUGGUCGCUGUUGACUUGGGUGUGUGGGAUGGGGUGUCAGGUGGUGAAGAAGCAGGUGGGCCUGUUGUAAGGCUCAGCCCCUGCUCUGCGGAGCCUGGGCUGCUUCUUAGUGAGCCUGCUGCAUGAUCGGAAGCAGGAACCCAGUGUUUGCAGAUUCAGAAAAGGUCUUUACAGAUUGUCCUGAUGGAGUGACUGGCAGCACAUGCAGAAGCCCAAGGAGAUGCCUGGUCUCUCAGGGUCCUCAAGGAAGUCUGAGAUGCAGCUGCCUCUUCGUGGUCUCCAGACAGAGUCAUCGCUCACUCAGAUCCCCUAGGCCCACGACGAACGGCAAAGACAAAUUUUUGUUGUUUCUAUUGUUUAAAUAUCUGGAAUGCUACCGCUUUGCUUUUUGCUUAGUUAGCCUCCAGCCCAGGUGACUGGGUGAAUUUACCAGCAUGUCUUCACUCUCUCUUUGUCAUAGGACUUUGUAACCUUUUUUUCUCUCAAACCAAGACUCAGAGCAGUUACCUUGCCCAUCCAAGAUCACUUAGAAAGUCAGCAGGGACGAAUUGAGUCAUUUGUUCUCCAAGCUGGUGCUUUUUUCAAAAGACAAACUGACCUCUCUUCUAUUAUAAAGAAUUAGUAGGCACUAAUUUAUAGUCACUUUACUUCCCAUCAAAGGACUAUUAGAAGUAAUAAAAGGCCUGGAUAAAGGCCAUCCAAAAACUCCUAAAUUGGAAAUACCUGUGACCAAUUGUCUCCAGACUUUCAAAUCCCAUUUAGCAGCUGGUAGUCAUUCCCUUGCAUGGUGUUAGAUGCACCCAAAUCUUUCUGUGCUUCCAGAGCAUUGAGCAAACAUAUAUAUGAUUUUCCAAAAGGUAACUGGAAAGGUGCCGUGUUCAGGAAACUGGCAGAGUGUGUGUGAACACACCAGGCCAAGCUGUGAGAGAUUUUCUGACACAGCUUUCCAAUCUCUGCUCUUCCCCCUCACCCUGGGGGUUCAUUUCCCAGGGCACAGUGCGUCCUCUGAAAAGUCACACAGCUGUUGGCGGUGAGAGGCACUGUCCCAGUAGCGAGCUCCUUCCUCACUCCUACAGGCUGGCUCACCUCACUCGGAGAGUCCUUGGGCCUUGAGGACAGGGACAAGAAAGCACUAAUGAGGAAGAACAUGCUGGAGGAAUAUCAUAUUCAGCAAGCCUAGAGGCAGUGACUCCAGCCAUCAAGAUCCCAGGAAACACUUUAGAUAGAAAUUUAUUGAGCCGUUUCCUCAAUGCCUGGAAUGGGGCUGAAGGUGAGGAAUGGGGUAAAUGAUAGUGAUGAAUACGACCAGUCCUGGCAGUGCUUCUCAGACUUUUCCAUGAACCACUCUGAUGGUUAAGGACACUGAAGGAGAAUGGGAGGGCCACAAGGUUUUCCAUCAACAGAAAUGGCUGCUGAUUGAAGCUUUCUGCCCAGCACUGGAGAGAGACCCAUUCUCCAAAGCAGAUUGAUCAUUUCUCCUGCCGAUAAAGGGACAGUAUUCUACCCAGUGGGUUUGGCCCCUGACCUAAGAAAUAUAUGGAUGCAUCAAAAUUCCCUGAGCUGACAACUUGGAUGAACUCUGGAGGCUGUAAAUCUGCAAAGGCAGAGAGGGGCCAGGCAGGCCUGUGCGAGAGGGCUCUCCCCUCAUUUAGUGUGCAUCAACCACCAUGAUGGCCGAGCAAUUCCUUGUCUGCUUUUUACCCAACAUAAUUUGCAAAUUGAUUGUUCUUCCUUGGAAGUCUUUCUUAAUUAAAUAGUAACUGCAGUUACUACCCUCAGACAAAGGGGACAUGUUAGUGUCCUGGCAGAGCACAGCCUUAGCUCAGUGAAUUUACGUUUGCUGAAGUGCCCAUCAUGGACUCAUGUGCAGAACUCUACUGCAUGGCUCCUUCUAGAGGAAUGAGACUGCACUCCUUGCCCACAAAGAGCCAGAAUAAGCCCUUUACCACUGGGGCAAAGAGCUCUAAACAGAGACAAAUGGAUGCCCUCUGGGCCCACACUUGAUUCCAGGGACUGUGGGAGAAUCAGCCUUGACUGUCGUUGACUGCGUGCCUAUGUGCCUGGCACUGUGUUGGGCCCUUUCACACGAACCAUCUCAUUUAAUCUUCAUAACCCAAAGAAGGAGGGGCAGUUAUAUCUAUUUUCCAAAGAAGCAACUGAAGGUCAGCAACUUGCUCAACAUCAUGUAGCUAGUAAGGAGCUUGAGCCUUGGGCAGACUCCAUCCACACCUCCUGUGCCCCCUGCAUGCCCUGCCACAAGCUGAGUGUGAAACCCUUCCACUUCAUGCUGCUGUUUUAGAGUCCCUGUGAGUUGGUGUAGUCAUGAUGAAAACUAUCCUUGAACUCAAAUUACUGCUGCUUUUGUGGCUGCUGCUUGUGAUCUGGCCGUGAUUGACUUGAU
Long non-coding RNA from Equus caballus (horse), 3163 nucleotides. The record is from Ensembl. Lineage: Eukaryota; Metazoa; Chordata; Mammalia; Perissodactyla; Equidae.